This 161-nucleotide ribosomal RNA is filed under the name uncultured Lactobacillus sp. RNAcentral describes it as "partial 16S ribosomal RNA". It matches the Rfam family "Bacterial small subunit ribosomal RNA", at positions 371 to 524 of the family's 1533-position model. Lineage: Bacteria; Bacillati; Bacillota; Bacilli; Lactobacillales; Lactobacillaceae. The record is from RNAcentral.
AUGGACGCAAGUCUGAUGGAGCAACGCCGCGUGAGUGAAGAAGGUCUUCGGAUCGUAAAGCUCUGUUGUUGGUGAAGAAGGAUAGAGGCAGUAACUGGUCUUUAUUUGACGGUAAUCAACCAGAAAGUCACGGCUAACUACGUGCCAGCAGCCGCGGUAAU